This 609-nucleotide long non-coding RNA is filed under the name Numida meleagris (helmeted guineafowl). RNAcentral's name for it is "lncRNA (ENSNMEG00000010105.1)". The record is from RNAcentral. Lineage: Eukaryota; Metazoa; Chordata; Aves; Galliformes; Numididae.
UAUGAAUGUGGAUAUGCAAAUCAAACAUGUUUGUUUCUUUGUUUCCCCAGGGAAAACUUGAAGAGUCUUUCACUUUUCAUCCUCCAGUCACUGAUUGGGCUAUAAGGACACUGUGUGAGGUGAUUCAACUUUGCUGUUUAUCACUGAUCAGACUAGAAGAAGAAGAGUGUUCUAAAAAGACACACACCUACAGCAAAAAGAAAAGAAAAGAAAAGAAAAGAAAAGAAAAGAAAAGAAAAGAAAAGAAAAGAAAAGAAAAGAAAAGAAAAGAAAAGAAAAGAAAAGAAAUCAAAAGCCACGCAAUAGCCACUUCCCAUUAGAUUUCUGGUCUGAUUUUGUGACCGUGGAAAUGUAACUGUAUAAAUGUAUGCUGUAACUCACAGUUGCUAUUGAAAUAGACUUUAUGAAUCUAUAAACAUUCUGCCAACAUAGCCAUCUUCAAAGCUUUCAAAAGUUGCAAUACAGUAACGUGGCAAAUGAUCUAUGUUUUUGUACAUGCACAUAUUUUUCAUGACUAAUACCUGAAGGGGUGCUUUUGAAAAUUGUAAAAGCUCACUUUUGUACCUGCUUCCAUUCCACUUAUUUUAAUGAAUAAAUAUUAUGCAAUAA